CCUACGGGCGGCAGCAGUGAGGAAUAUUGGUCAAUGGGCGUAAGCCUGAACCAGCCAAGUCGCGUGAGGGAUGAAGGUUCUAUGGAUCGUAAACCUCUUUUAUAAGGGAAUAAAGUGUGGGACGUGUCCUGUUUUGUAUGUACCUUAUGAAUAAGGAUCGGCUAACUCGGUGCCAGCAGCCGCGGUAAUACGGAGGAUCCGAGCGUUAUCCGGAUUUAUUGGGUUUAAAGGUUGCGUAGGCGGCCUUUUAAGUCAGCGGUGAAAGUCUGUGGCGCACCCAUAGAAUUGCCGUUGAAACUGGGAGGCUUGAGUAUGUUUGAGGCAGGCGGAAUGCGUGGUGGAGCGGUGAAAUGCUUAGAUAUCACGCAGAACCCCGAUUGCGAAGGCAGCCUGCCAAGCCAUGACUGACGCUGAUGCACGAAAGCGUGGGGAUCAAACAGGAUUAGAUACCCCAGUAGUC
Molecule: ribosomal RNA, 460 nt
Filed under: uncultured bacterium
Lineage: Bacteria
Description: partial 16S ribosomal RNA
Rfam family: Bacterial small subunit ribosomal RNA
Source: RNAcentral